UGAAUUGUAUUUGCAACGUAGGAUGGAAGAAGAAUUGCGAGAAAAGCUUAUAUUUGGUGGCAUCGAAGAAACUACACUCGCCAUCUUAGAAAAUCACAAGCUAACUGAUUGCCAUGUCUUGAACGAAGUGGACAUCAGUGUACUUUUUUUGUGCGGGGUAAAGGCAGGAGAUGCUCUGACAGUUAAAAAGAUAUGCAAGGUGUACUUAUCAACUAAAAACACUGAGGGUGCAACCUGUGUCGCCGACCAGAUGGACAAUCGAACACAGAC
Long non-coding RNA from Dendronephthya gigantea, 270 nucleotides. RefSeq lists it as uncharacterized. NCBI's taxonomy places the organism in Eukaryota, Metazoa, Cnidaria, Anthozoa, Malacalcyonacea, Nephtheidae. The record is from RefSeq and is a predicted model, not a curated record. The transcript is spliced from 3 exons.